AGGCAGCUGGUGUAUGAGCUUAUGUCACCUCUAACUUAUUAGCUUGGGACAAGGUAAUUGCAUCGUUUCCACAAAAUAGAACAUGUUCAUAGUAACUACAUGCUAAUUCCUUUGAACACAACAGUAAUUAUAUGGUAACUUUGCAUCUCUCAACAAUUGUGUGAUUAACUGGUGGUGCGUAAGUUUUAAGCCAUGUGUGAGCUCAGCAUCAAGGUAGACAGUUCUGACAGGGUUCAUGCAUCAAAGGACACAGUAUUAUCUCACUCUGUUCCCCAGGAACUUUGCUUCUUUUUUAAUGCUAAUGGGUUUGCCCAGGGUCUGCUGAGGAAGGAGGGCUGCAGUAACAGUCCUGAAGGUUCACCGGGACCCCACAGAAGCAGCAAAUCUUUUCAGGGCACUGAACGUCCUCAGGGAAGGCCUUAUCAGUAUGAAAGUUUUCAAGCCAUCCCCCUGAACAUGGAGGCACUGUCUGCUCGAGAUGUCAUGUGGUGGCUACCCUGGCCUUGA
RNAcentral lists this long non-coding RNA (507 nucleotides) under Sus scrofa (pig). RNAcentral describes it as "lncRNA (ENSSSCG00060071130.1)". Lineage: Eukaryota; Metazoa; Chordata; Mammalia; Artiodactyla; Suidae. The record is from RNAcentral.